Molecule: ribosomal RNA, 253 nt
Filed under: uncultured bacterium
Lineage: Bacteria
Description: partial 16S ribosomal RNA
Rfam family: Bacterial small subunit ribosomal RNA
Source: RNAcentral
UACGAAGGGAGCUAGCGUUGUUCGGAAUUACUGGGCGUAAAGGGCGCGUAGGCGGCUCUGCAAGUCAGAUGUGAAAGCCCCGGGCUUAACCUGGGAACUGCAUUUGAUACUGCAAGGCUAGAGAUUGAGAGAGGUAAGUGGAAUUAUGAGUGUAGAGGUGAAAUUCGUAGAUAUUCAUAAGAACAUCAGUGGCGAAGGCGGCUUACUGGCUCAAUACUGACGCUAAGGCGCGAAAGCGUGGGGAGCAAACAGG